This 519-nucleotide long non-coding RNA is filed under the name Capsicum annuum. RNAcentral describes it as "long non-coding RNA (CANN_LNC013734)". Lineage: Eukaryota; Viridiplantae; Streptophyta; Magnoliopsida; Solanales; Solanaceae. The record is from RNAcentral.
GUAAAAGGUGGUGAGUUGGGGUCAAUUGGAAAGACACCUGGAGCACUUGGAGUGCCUGGAUAAAUGAUAGGUGUAGUGGGGGUGGUAGGAGUCGGGGAGUAACCACCCCCUGGAGUGCUUGGAGUUCCGGGGUCAAUGGUAGGAGUAGGUGGUGUUUCAAUGAUUGGAGUAGUUGGGGUAGUAGGUGUAGGGGAAGGAUAGUAACCACCACCCCCUGGAGUGCUUGGAGUACCAGGGUCAACGGUAGGCGUAGGUGGUGUUUCAAUGGUAGGUGUAGAGGGGGUGGUAGGUGUAGGUGUAGGCGAAGGAUAGUAGCCACCACCACCUGGAGUGCUUGGAGUUCCGGGGUCAGCGGUAGGAGUAGGUGGUGUUUCAAUAGUAGGUGCGGAGGGAGUGGAUGGUGUACUAGGGGUACUAGGUGUAGGAGUACUUGGAGUCGGGGAAGGAUAGUAGCCACUUCCACCCCCUGGAGUACUUGGAGUGCCAGGGUCUGGAGUUGGGGUUACAACAGGUGUAGAG